Molecule: long non-coding RNA, 207 nt
Organism: Quercus robur (English oak)
Lineage: Eukaryota; Viridiplantae; Streptophyta; Magnoliopsida; Fagales; Fagaceae
Exons: 3
Source: RefSeq, a predicted model, not a curated record
AGCAACAGCAACAGCAACAGCAACAGCAACGUCUACAUCAACAGCAGCAAAGCCAGAUAUGAUGCAAACAGAUAUAGCAGUGGAUCUAAUUGUGCAUAUUGAAGAAGACAAUCAAAAUCAACAGACUUAUGAGAAUAUGAUGCAGACAGAAACAGCAGAGGAUCUAAGUGGGCAUGCUGAACAAGAAAAUCAAAAUCAACAUCAGAA